This 72-nucleotide transfer RNA is filed under the name Marmota marmota marmota (Alpine marmot). It matches the Rfam family "tRNA". From Rfam's summary of the family: Transfer RNA (tRNA) molecules are approximately 80 nucleotides in length. Their secondary structure includes four short double-helical elements and three loops (D, anti-codon, and T loops). RNAcentral also lists the same sequence under 3 other names. The record is from Rfam by way of RNAcentral. Lineage: Eukaryota; Metazoa; Chordata; Mammalia; Rodentia; Sciuridae.
UGGGAUGUAGCUCAGUGGUAGAGCACUUGCACUACAUGUGCAAGGCCCUGGGUUCAAUACCCAAUACUGCAA